CCAAUAGCGUAUAUUAAAGUUGUUGCAGUUAAAAAGCUCGUAGUUGAAUUUCGGGGUUAGUAAGUUGGUCAUGCCUUUGGUAUGCACUGGCUUUACUGAUUCCUCCUUCUUGACGAACCGUGAUGUCAUUAAUUUGGUGUUGCGGGAGAUCAGGACUGUUACUUUGAAAAAAUUAGAGUGUUUAAAGCAGGCUAACGCUUGAAUACAUUAGCAUGGAAUAAUGAAAUAGGACGUUAAUCCUAUUUUGUUGGUUUCUAGGAUCGACGUAAUGAUUAAUAGGGAUAGUUGGGGGCAUUAGUAUUCAAUUGUCAGAGGUGAAAUUCUUGGAUUUAUUGAAGACUAACUACUGCGAAAGCAUUUGCCAAGGAUGUUUUCAUUAAGCAAGAACGAAAGUUAGGGGAUCGAAGACGAUCAGAUACCGUCGUAGUCUUAACCAUAAACUAUGCCGACUAGGGAUCGGAUGAUGUUAAUUCUUUAAUGACUCAUUCGGCGCCUUACG
Molecule: ribosomal RNA, 499 nt
Filed under: uncultured Glomeromycotina
Lineage: Eukaryota; Fungi; Glomeromycota
Description: partial small subunit ribosomal RNA
Rfam family: Eukaryotic small subunit ribosomal RNA
Source: RNAcentral